This 207-nucleotide ribosomal RNA is filed under the name uncultured bacterium. Its description in RNAcentral is "partial 16S ribosomal RNA". It matches the Rfam family "Bacterial small subunit ribosomal RNA", at positions 1295 to 1500 of the family's 1533-position model. The record is from RNAcentral.
GGAUUGUAGUCUGCAACCCGACUACAUGAAGCUGGAAUCGCUAGUAAUCGCGAAUCAGAAUGUCGCGGUGAAUACGUUCCCGGGUCUUGUACACACCGCCCGUCACACCAUGGGAGUCGAUAACGCCCGAAGUCAGUGACCCAACCUUGUAGGAGGGAGCUGCCGAAGGCGGGAUGGAUAACUGGGGUGAAGUCGUAACAAGGUAAC